AUGCAACUGGAAAAGUCUGUUUUAAUCUGCAUUACUGCCAACCCCAGGAGGUGUGUGGACCUUCAUCAUCCUACCUUUGAACUUCCCCUUCAGGGACAGUCUCCUGACACGACCUUCAUAGAUCCGGCAAUGCCCAGCUGUGGGGCCUAUAAAUACCAGGUGACAUUUAUUUAUUUAUUUAUUUAUUUUUCCAGGUGACAUUUAAAAGGCUGAUUUUUAUUAGUAGGUUCUACUCACCAGAACAUUGAGUUGCCCAUGCUCAGAAAAGCAUAAUCUCAUUUUUAACUUCCUUCUUUUAGUUAAUACCUAAUGAUUUGGGGAGUCAGAGGC
Long non-coding RNA from Bos grunniens (domestic yak), 330 nucleotides. NCBI's taxonomy places the organism in Eukaryota, Metazoa, Chordata, Mammalia, Artiodactyla, Bovidae. The record is from Ensembl.